CACAUACUCCAUUCGUCCAGAAUUACUUGUCACAUAAAUGUGUAAAAAUGAAUGUACCUAAAACUAAAAUACAUCUAGAUACAUUCAUUCCUAUGACAAGUAUUUCCGGACGGAGGGAGUAUUUG
Non-coding RNA from Hordeum vulgare subsp. vulgare (domesticated barley), 125 nucleotides. Lineage: Eukaryota; Viridiplantae; Streptophyta; Magnoliopsida; Poales; Poaceae. The record is from Rfam.